AGAAACUUAGGAUAAUGUACAAACCAGAGGCCUUCAAAGCCCCAAAUAAGAGCUAAACCCUCUUAGUUUCUG
This 72-nucleotide transfer RNA is filed under the name Dibamus bourreti. RNAcentral's name for it is "tRNA-Trp". It matches the Rfam family "tRNA". From Rfam's summary of the family: Transfer RNA (tRNA) molecules are approximately 80 nucleotides in length. Their secondary structure includes four short double-helical elements and three loops (D, anti-codon, and T loops). RNAcentral also lists the same sequence under 1 other name. Lineage: Eukaryota; Metazoa; Chordata; Lepidosauria; Squamata; Dibamidae. The record is from RNAcentral.